AGUGAACGCUGGCGGUAGGCCUAACACAUGCAAGUCGAACGGCAGCACCGUAAGAGCUUGCUCUUACGGGUGGAGAGUGGCGGAAGGGUGAGGAAUACAUCGGAAUCUACUUUUUAGUGGGGGAUAACGUAGGGAAACUUACGCUAAUACAGCAUACGACCUACGGGUGAAAGCAGGGGAUCUUCGGACCUUGCGCGAUUGAAUGAGCCGAUGUCGGAUUAGCUAGUUGGCGGGGUAAAGGCCCACCAAGGCGACGCUCCGUAGCUGGUCUGAGAGGAUGAUCAGCCACACUGGAUCUGAGACACGGUACAGACUCCUGCGGUAGGCAGCAGUGGGGAAUAUUGGACAAUGGGCGCAAGCCUGAUCCAGCCAUACCGCGUGAGUGAAGAAGGCCUUCGGGUUGUAAAGCCCUUCUGUUGGGAAAGAAAAGCAGCAGGUUAAUACCCCGCUGUUCUGACGGUACCCAAAGAAUAAGCACCGGCUAACUUCGUG
RNAcentral lists this ribosomal RNA (492 nucleotides) under uncultured bacterium. RNAcentral's name for it is "partial 16S ribosomal RNA". It matches the Rfam family "Bacterial small subunit ribosomal RNA", at positions 29 to 507 of the family's 1533-position model. The record is from RNAcentral.